RNAcentral lists this long non-coding RNA (8434 nucleotides) under Theobroma cacao (cacao). RNAcentral's name for it is "long non-coding RNA (TCAC_LNC003140)". Lineage: Eukaryota; Viridiplantae; Streptophyta; Magnoliopsida; Malvales; Malvaceae. The record is from RNAcentral.
GGGUCAUGACCGGCGCAUGGGUCCAAUGGACGUAAUCCACUAAACCCAAGCAAGCCUAUUAUUUAUCUUACUUAUGAUUCUAUUUAUUACCACUAAGUCCUAUUUCAUGACUUUGAGUCAAAAUAGUGAUAUACAUUGCCAACUCGUACUGGCAUUACUCUUUUAAAAUUUACAUUAAGUUCAUCUAUACAUAACAAAAUAAUACUCGACCUCUAGCGGAGUGACUCGGAUGGAUAUACAGCUACCGAAUGCCGAGACACCUACCAAAAGAUGUACACAGAUCUACAAGGACACCUCAUCCUAAUUAUCGGCUACCUCGUGAUCUGAAAACAUGAAUUUGAAAAUGGUGAGUAUAAACCCAGUGAGUGAACAAGGAAGGGAACAAGCAACAAUUAGGAAAAAUUUAAAAUCAUGAUGCACUUGUUUCAAACAAUGCAAUUUAGUUCAUUCCUAUUUAAAACCCCUCCAAACCCCAGAGUUUUUCGCUACAGCGAGCAUGAAUUUCGAUGCAGUGAAAACAAAGCAACAAGAGAAACAUUUUUCCUCACUCAACAAAAGCCAUCCUGCUAAACUAAUAAAAUCAACCUAACAUUCAUGAAAAUUCUCAAAGUAUAAUGUGUCAAAUUUUACGUACAUUACAACCAUAAAUCAUUGUCCAUCAAUUUGCUAUAUCACACACAUUUAUAUAUAUAUAUAUAUAUAUAUACGUAUAUACCCAUCAUCAUCAUCUCACCAACCCAUCAUCAUCAUCACCAGCUCAUCAUCAUCAUCACCAGCUCAUGCGCACUCCCUACUCGCACAUGGCUGGGUCAUCACCGGGUUAUGCGCACUCCCUACUCGCACAUAACCGGGUCAUCCUCGGCUUAUGCGCACUCCCUACUCGCACAUAGCCGAGUCAACAUAAUUACACAACAUUAUAUUCAAGCAUAUAUGUAUAUCAACAUAAUGCAGCCACAUAGAAAUCCAUAAUAACCACAUUUCAUAACAUAAACCUUUUCUCAAAAGCUUGUUCCCAAGGCAUUCAUUUUCAUGAAAAAUUGCAUAAAAUCAUUCAAACACUUUGUUCAAAACAGUCAUAUUCCCAAAACAAUUUUGAUAGGCAGUCCACUCACAGGUGUCGAAAAUCCGGAUUCCGGGUGAACUCUGACUAAUAGUCCUCAGGCGUAAUUCCUUUGCCUUUUCCGGACGUCUCACCACCUUGACAAAUAACAAAGUCGAGGAAUUUACUAUAUUGUCCCUAAAUUGAUAUAAAUUAAUUUAAAUUACUAAUGCUUGAUAUGUAAAUGCAAAAAUAUGUCCGAUUACCGCUUAAUCACGGUAUCGAUUAAAUUCGACCGAUCACCCGAUUAAUCGGCGAUUGUGUCCAAAUCACCUCCAAAUUAAUUCAUUUCUCCUCUAAUACCUUAAUUUACCACAUACAUUUAAAUAAAGCCAAAUUCAGCAUUAGAACCCUCACAGUUCCUUAUAGAAAAAUUUGGUCAUUUGGUGCACUAGCAUCGAAUUUUUUUCUACAUAACCGUUUCACCUUAAUUCAUCAUUUUCCAAGCCAUUUUCCUUGAAAUAAAAACAAUCCCCCAUUGAUAUUCAGCCCUCAUGGUUCGACCAACAAGGAACCCUAGAGAAAUUGAAUAUUUCUUUUGUGUUUUUGUUCAUAACCAUGCUUAACUAUCCCUAAACACUAACAUAGUCUAAAAUCAAAUUAUUCCAACAACAAUUCCUCUUCCAUACCCAUUUUUCAGAAUUGAAUUCAUCAUGAUAACUCAAUAUUCAACCAUGGAAAUCAAGAACAAAAGCAUGGGUAAGCUAGGUAUCAAGGAGAAUUAAAGAAAUUUUAACUUACCUAGCUUGUUUCCUUGAUUUCUUCACUUUUUCUUUGAAUUUCCACCUAGGUUUUCUUGUUUUUCCUUUUGUUCUUCCUUUUUUCUUGUUGCUGGAUGUCUAGGCCGAAUAUGGUGAGGGAAUUGGGGAUUUAAUGGGCUGAUUUCUAUAGAAAAUAAUAAAAUAAUCAAGCAUGCCAUGUGUCACAUGCUUAUUGGCCCAAUUUUUAACUUUUUGACUUUUUCUUCUUAAUUUUCCACCACAAAUAUUCUGGUAUUUAUCCAAUCCUACCACAAUUAAAAUCCCUUGGUCUUGACAAGUGCUGGGCCGAAAAUUUUACUGAUUUGCCCCCGAGACAAAAAAAUUACGAUUUUGCCCUUAUACUCCGAAAUGUACCGGAAUCUCAUUAUUUCUACUUUUCAACCUAAAAUAACACUAAUAUUGAUCAAUAUUAACCAAAUGGGGCAAAAAUUGUUUAAAAAAAUUUUCGUUUAGUCCACUAGUGGCAAAAUUACCAUUUUGCCCUUCUGCUCCAUAAAUACCGGGAAUCACAAUUUUUCACUACUAAACAUCAUUUUAUACUCCAAUAAUCAUAAUUAUAUUUCAUAUAAUUAUUCUUGGUCAAAUGUGAUCAAAUCUUGGCUAAAAAUCUCCAUUUUAUCAUCAAAUGGUAAAAUGACCGUUUUGUCCCUAAUUGGUCAAUUUUCUGAUGGACUCCAAACUGGACCUUGAACUCCAAAUCACUAUUCUAAGCCAUUCUGUUGGUUUUAAAAUUUUCAAAUUCCUCUUAGAAUUUCUAUUUGAACUAGUUCAAGGCUCGAUUUAACUUAGUUGUACCACUCGAUACAAUACCGUCUUUUAAUCGAGCUUGACAGGGUCUCACAUUCUCCCCCACUAAUAAAAAUUCGGUCCCCGAAUUUAAAUUCAAUGUAGAGUGGGUUACCUUUACAUAUCGAAGAGGUGUGGAUGCUUUGUCCGCAUGUCAUCCUCAGCUUCCCACGUUACCUCCUCGCUAGUGUGAUUCCGCCACAACACUUUCACUGAGGCUACAUCCUUUAAACGGAGCUUUUUAACUUGCCUAUCAAGGAUAGCUACCGGUUGUUCCUCAUAGGUUAGAUCAUCUUGCAACUGAAUAGUUUCAUACCGUAUUACAUGUGAUGGAUCUGGGUUGUACUUCCUAAGCAUGGACACAUGAAACACGGGAUGAAUAUUAGAAAGGUCUGGCGGUAAUGCCAAACGAUAAGCCACCGCUCCAACCUUUUCUAAGAUCUCGAAUGGCCCUAUAUACCGAGGACUUAACUUCCCUUUCUUGCCAAACCUCAUUACCCCUUUAGUUGGCGAAACUUUCAAAAAUACAUGAUCUCCUACUUGGAACUCCAAGUCUCUCCGUCGGUUAUCAGCAUAUGAUUUCUGUCUACUUUGUGCUGUUAACAUCCUCUGACGGAUCAUGUGUAUUUUCUCGGUUGCAUCCUGCACCAAUUCAGGCCCCAAAAGUUUCCUUUCUCCCACCUCUAGCCAUCCAAUGGGUGACCUACAUCUUCGUCCAUAUAAGGCCUCAAAUGGUGCCAUUUGGAUGCUAGUUUGGAAACUGUUGUUGUAGGCAAAUUCCACUAAGGGUAGAUAUUGUUCCCACCUGACACCAAGGUCUAUCACACAAGCCCUCAACAUAUCCUCCAAUGUCUGUAUGGUCCGUUCAGAUUGUCCAUCAGUCUGAGGGUGGAAAGCUGUGCUGAAAUCCAACUUAGUGCCCAAUGCUUCUUGCAACUUUCCCCAAAACCUACUAGUAAACUGAGCUCCUCUGUCAGAUACUAUAGAAAUGGGAAUACCAUGUAGUCGCACUAUCUCAUCCACAUAAACUCGAGCAUAUUGGGCAGCCCCAUAAGUAGUCUUAACCGGAAGAAAAUGAGCUGACUUUGUUAACCGGUCCACUACUAUCCAAAUUGAAUCAUAUCCCCCACUGGUUCGAGGCAAACCCGUUACAAAGUCCAUAGCAAUAUGUUCCCACUUCCACUCGGGUACUGGUAAUGGCUGUAGUAGCCCUGCAGGCUUUUGAUGCUCGGCCUUAACCUGCUGACAAACCAGGCACUUGGAGACAAACUCAGCUACAUCUCUCUUAAGUCCUUCCCACCAAUACACCUCUUUCAAAUCUUGAUACAUCUUUGUAGCCCCUGGAUGUACCACAUAAGCUGCCAUGUGAGCUUCCUCCAAUAUUUCUCUCCUCAACCCGUCACCAUCAGGCACAUAAAGUCUGGUUCCAUACCUCAACACUCCAUCUGUGCCUUUAGUAAACAUUUUUCCUUUCCUACCCUGAGGAUCCUCUAAGGCCUUAAUCACAAACUCAUCUUUACUUUGUGCUUCUUUAAUCCUGUCCAUUAAAAUAGGCCUCACUCUAAAGUGUGCUAGCAAAGCAUUUGUCUCCGCAACUUCCAAACGCACACCUAUGUCUCCCAAGCUAUGGAUCUCUCUAACCAAAGAUCUCCUACCAAUGGAAAUAUGUGCCAAGCUUCCCAUUGAUUUUCGACUCAAGGCAUCCGCCACUACAUUGGCCUUACCGGGAUGAUAAAGAAUAGUACAAUCAUAAUCCUUUAGCAACUCCAUCCAUCUACGUUGCCGUAAGUUAAGAUCCCUCUGCUGAAAUAUAUACUUCAGACUUUUGUGGUCCGUGUAUAUCUCGCAAGUCUCACCAUACAAGUAAUGUCUCCAAAUCUUUAAGGCAAACACGAUUGCUGCCAUUUCCAAAUCGUGUAUGGGGUAAUUCUGCUCAUGCCUUUUAAGUUGCCUAGAUGCAUACGCAAUCACCUUCCCAUGUUGCAUUAAUACACAUCCUAAACCAACCCCCGAUGCAUCACAAAACACCGUGUAACCCCCUGUGCCUUGCGGAAGGCUUAACACUGGAGCUGUGGUGAGACAUGCCUUAAGCUUCUCAAAACUAUUCUCACAAGCAUCAGACCACUCAAAUUUUGUAUCUUUACGUGUCAGCUUAGUCAAAGGGGCAACUAUUUUGGAGAAGUCUUUCACAAAGCGACGAUAAUAGCCAGCUAAACCCACAAAGCUUCUAAUCUCCGUAACUGAUGUUGGCCUUGGCCAUUUUUCCACUGCUUCAAUUUUCUUUGUAUCAACUUGUAUCCCCUCCUUAGAUACCACAUGCCCCAAGAAUGCAACACUUUCGAGCCAAAACUCACACUUGGAGAACUUAGCAUACAAUCGAUGUUCUCUCAAAAUUUGGAGCACUAUCUUAAGAUGCUGCUCAUGCUCCUCUCGACUCUUUGAAUAUAUCAAAAUGUCAUCAAUAAACACCACCACAAACUUAUCCAAAUAAGGUUUGAACACUCGGUUCAUCAAAUCCAUAAAGGCUGCAGGAGCAUUCGUGAGCCCAAAUGACAUCACUAAGAACUCAUAGUGCCCAUAUCUUGUUCGAAAUGCGGUCUUGGGUAUAUCUUCGUUCCGGAUUCUCAACUGAUGGUACCCAGAUCGCAGAUCUAUCUUAGAAAAACAUUGUGCUCCUUGUAGUUGAUCAAAUAAAUCAUCUAUCCUUGGGAGAGGAUAUUUAUUCUUCACCGUCACUUUAUUAAGCUGUCGAUAAUCAAUGCACAGCCUAAGUGACCCAUCUUUCUUCUUCACAAAUAACACUGGUGCUCCCCAUGGGGAUACACUAGGUCGUAUGAAACCUUUAUCCAACAAAUCCUCCAACUGAUCCUUAAGCUCUUUAAGCUCUGCAGGUGCCAUUCUAUAUGGGGGUAUGGAUAUAGGUCUAGUGUCGGGAAUCAAAUCUAUGCAAAACUCAAUCUCCCGUUCAGGAGGCAAACCUGGUAGCUCCUCGGGAAAUACAUCCACGAACUCCUUCACCACCGACACUUGAGUUACAUCUCCAAUCUUUGCCUGACUAUCCUUUACAACAGCCAAGUAACCUAUACAACCCUGUCGUAAUAAUCUUCUGGCAGAUAUGACCGAUAUCAAAUUGGUUGGAGCAUUACUCCUAUCCCCCUGAAUACUAAAUGAUGGUUCACCGGGGAAAUCAAAUCUAACCAAUUUAUGAUAGCAGUCCACACUAGCAUGGCAGGGUGAUAACCAAUCCAUCCCCAAGAUUACAUCAAAGUCUAAGGUGUCUAGCACCACUAGAUUCACCGAAGUGUCUUUGUCCUUGACUCGCACUACACAGGACUCAUAUUCCCACUCGGCCACAAAUAUCUCCUUUAAAGGAGUAGACACCACUAAUUGUUCCUCUCUCCUAACACGACCUCUACCCAACCGAGAUGCAAAACAUGGAGAGAUAAAAGAAUGGGUAGCACCAGGAUCAAAUAGUACUCGAGCAUUCAUAUUACAAACGGAGAGAAUACCUGAGACCACGGCAUUGGAUGUUUGAGCCUCCUGCUGUGUUAAAGCAAACACCCUCGCUUGGCCUCUACCAAUAGAACUUUGAUGUCCGGACCCAGAUGGUCUGCCUUGAGAGGAAGUACCCGCACCUCUACCUCUCAAUCCACUAACCUCCCGGCCAGAUGAGACAGCAACUGACGGAGCAGAUGAAGCUGGCUGGGUGGAACCACGAGCAGAAUCUGGUGAUUGAUGUGCCAUCGGACAAUCCCUCAUAAUAUGCCCAGGUUGACCGCACCCGUAACAAGUUCUUGUAGUAAGGAAGCACCGUCCACUAUGUCGUCUCCCACAAGUAUCACAAGAGCGAAUGACUUGACUACUCUGUCUAGAAUCUUGCUGCCUCCUAGAACUGAAGGUUCUCUGUCCCACCCUAAUAUUAGCACCAGGUGCGUCACUCCCCUACUGAGGUAACCGUGAGUCCCUCUGUGGACCUUGACGGCUAGAAGAUGAACCACCACUGCUGAAAUCUCUACGGCCCUGAUAACCCUCUGUCUUGCCCCUUUUUGCUCUAUCUCUCGCAGCCCUACUCUCACUGGUCUUCAUCUCAAUGCGUUGAGCACGAUCCACUGCUGCAGAAUAGGUAGUGAAAUCUCGGGAUGCCACAGCCCUAAAUAAUGGCUCCACUAACCCAUCCACAAACCUCCAAAUCUUCAUCUCCUCAGUAGAAACGAGAUAGGGCGCAUAACGAGCUAGCUGCAUGAACUUGAUGUCAUACUCAGACACCGUCAUGCUUGAAGUCUGUACCAAAGUCUCAAAUUCUCUGGCUCAGGCAUUACGCACACUGAGUGGUAAGAAUCGAUCUAAGAAGGCUGCACUGAACUCACUCCAGGCCAACGGUGUUGCAUUAGUCGGUCUGCCUCUACAUAAAGAGCUAUACCAUUCCUGCGCCACAUCCUCUAAUUGGAAGGCGGCUAGCUCAACUGACCGAACACUAGAACAUCCCAAGGCUUUACAAAUUUUCUCCAUCUUAUCCAAGAAAACCUGGGGUUUCUCCGAUGCAUCAGACCCUGAAAAUGUUGGAGGCUUAAGCUUGAGAAAGUCAGGAAGAGAAAUAUCUAGAUGUCCCCUCUCCUCCUCAUGAUGUUGGUGAUCGGCCUGUCCUUGGGAGCUAGGGGAUUCUUGUACUGUAGGUCUCCCCUCUACUACCCUUUGUAUAUCUUCCAUGCGGGUCGCCAUCAUCUCUACAACCCGGUUAACUCCCUGUAGGCCUGUCGCCAAAUCCUCAAUAGUAAUACCCCCAACUGGGUGUCUAUCUACAUCACCUGAGGACUGUCCCUCUUCUUGCCUACUCACAAGCGUAUCCAACCCCACCGGCCUAGUGACCCUGCCACGUCUACCUCGGCCUCUCUGGGUGGAUGCCCGUGGUCUAUCUGCCAUCUCAAUGGGAGCAUCUUGCUCCCUUGCCCGUCUUGUGGCGGCUCGUGUCUUAGGCGGCAUUCUUACCUAGACAAAAGAAAACGCCUGUUAUUAAACACAUAUUAUAAUCAUACUUAAAGCAAAAGGUGGUUUCUAAGAUAGGGAAUCUAUGCGGUCAUUUGGUUGUAAAAUGUGUCGCGGUUCACACUUUACAACUGAAGUUCCCACAUAAAGACCCGACUCUCCGCUGGACUAACAAAAAGGAAGUUCUAGGACCUAGACAAACCUAGGGCUCUGAUACUUAUAUUGUCACGACCCAAAUUUCGGGUCAUGACCGGCGCAUGGGUCCAAUGGACGCAAUCCAUUAAACCCAAGCAAGCCUGUUAUUUAUCUUACUUAUGAUUCUAUUUAUUACCACUAAGUCCUAUUUCAUGACUUUGAGUCAAAAUAGUGAUAUACAUUGCCAACUCGUACUGGCAUUACUUUUUUAAAAUUUACAUUAAGUUCAUCUAUACAUAACAAAAUAAUACUCGACCUCCAGCGGAGUGACUCGGAUGGAUAUACAGCUACCGAAUGCCGAGACACCUACCAAAAGAUGUACACAGAUCUACAAGGACACCUCGUCCUAAUUAUCGGCUACCUCGUGAUCUGAAAACAUGAAUUUGAAAAUGGUCAGUAUAAACCCAGUGAGUGAACAAGGAAGGGAACAAGCAACAAUUAGGAAAAAUUUAAAAUCAUGAUGCACUUGUUUCAAAACAAUGCAAUUUAGUUCAUUCCUAUUUAAAACCCCUCCAAACCCCAGAGUUUUUCGCUACAGCGAGCAUGAAUUUCGAUGCAGUGAAAACAAAGCAACAAGAGAAACAUUUUUCCUCACUCAACAAAAAGCCAU